GACGAACGCUGGCGGCGUGCUUAACACAUGCAAGUCGAACGGGAUCCGGGCUUUCGGGUUUGGUGAGAGUGGCGAACGGGUGAGUAACACGUGAGUAACCUGCCCCCUUCUUUGGGAUAACGUCGGGAAAUCGGCGCUAAUACUGGAUAUUCUUGCUGCAUCGCAUGGUGUGGUUUGGAAAGGGUUUCUGGUGGGGGAUGGGCUCGCGGCCUAUCAGCUUGUUGGUGGGGUGAUGGCCUACCAAGGCUUUGACGGGUAGCCGGCCUGAGAGGGUGUCCGGCCACACUGGGACUGAGACACGGCCCAGACUACUACGGGAGGCAGCAGUGGGGAAUAUUGCACAAGGGGCGCAAGCCUGAUGCAGCGACGCCGCGUGAGGGAUGACGGCCUUCGGGUUGUAAACCUCUUUCAGUAUGGAACAAGGAUCCUUCUUUUGGGGGGUUUGAGGGUACGUGCAGAAGAAGCGCCGGCUAACUACGUG
Molecule: ribosomal RNA, 481 nt
Filed under: uncultured bacterium
Lineage: Bacteria
Description: partial 16S ribosomal RNA
Rfam family: Bacterial small subunit ribosomal RNA
Source: RNAcentral